AGGGGUAUAGCUCGGUGGUAGAGUGUGUGCUUAGCAUGCACGAGGUCCUGGGUUCGAUCUCCAGGACCUCCA
RNAcentral lists this transfer RNA (72 nucleotides) under Loxodonta africana (African savanna elephant). It matches the Rfam family "tRNA". Rfam says of the family: Transfer RNA (tRNA) molecules are approximately 80 nucleotides in length. Their secondary structure includes four short double-helical elements and three loops (D, anti-codon, and T loops). Further hydrogen bonds mediate the characteristic L-shaped molecular structure. tRNAs have two regions of fundamental functional importance: the anti-codon, which is responsible for specific mRNA codon recognition, and the 3' end, to which the tRNAs corresponding amino acid is attached (by aminoacyl-tRNA synthetases). tRNAs cope with the degeneracy of the genetic code in two manners: having more than one tRNA (with a specific anti-codon) for a particular amino acid; and 'wobble' base-pairing, i.e. permitting non-standard base-pairing at the 3rd anti-codon position. Lineage: Eukaryota; Metazoa; Chordata; Mammalia; Proboscidea; Elephantidae. The record is from Rfam by way of RNAcentral.